GGUAAACUUCUUCCGGAGCAGAGUACUCCGGAAUUUUCGAAAAGUCGGGCUGAAUACUACUGUUUUGCGGCAGAACACUAAAGUUUUUACUCAAAUCGUCCAAAUAGUUGUACUCCACUUGAAUACCAUCCCAGUUUCUGUACAUUCCAGUGUCCCGAUUGAACGAGAGCUGAGAUCCGCCGACGUUGAUCCGGUAGACCAUCUCCAUGGCGGUGUUAUUUUUGAUCGGAUACGAGUUUAUGCUGCCUACGGAAACAGGCCCAUCUGCGCUUUGUGGUGGAGUGUAAUAAAGAUUGUCGGGCAUGGACACGAUUUCGAUUCCAUUGAUGAAGGCGUAGGCAUCUGGACUUGCUCUGCUCGGAGUGAACGUGAUGUUCAAGCUCUGUUCGGAUGCAAUGUUGAGACAGAACUCCCUGGAUACUGUCUCCGACGGGAAAGCGUCGGCGGUGACAGAGGCGUUGAAAUCGCGGAGAAGGGUAAAGCCGCCGGCUUCGACUGAGAAGAGGGAUUUAGAUCGGUCGAACUCGGCGGCGUAGGAAGUGGGGUAGAAGUACAAGCGGAUGAACUUUUGGCCGCUGGUGAGCGGAAAUGUGUACGUAAAUUCGGAGCGAGAGAGCCGAGCUGUGGUGUAAGGCACUUGGCUGGAGGAGUAGAUCGGGGUUGCUGCUUUGUAUACGGAUGAGCUGCCAGCUGCUUGGAAGGGGGAGAAUUUUGAGUUGAUAUCGCCACUCCAAGUUCGUCCGUCCUGUUGGUUGACUUGGUCGCCGGAAAAGCCGCACUGUAGGGUGAUGUCAUCGACCGGUUUGUAGGCAGAAGGUGAGUUUCCGGCGACGUGUAGGGUUAUGAUUUGCAGAAACAGGGUAAGGAACAGAUGAGCAAGAUUGGGAUUCAUGGUUAGGUGUUUGCUACAUAUGGAAACGGGGGAAUCUGUUGCUGAUUAUUAUCGUAAGCUUAUCAAAAUUCCAUUUAUAAUUAAACUUCUAACUGGAUUUUGGAUACUUUAAUGGUGAAGUGUUCAGUUGUAAUUUGAAAACUGGGUGCUUGAAAAUUCAGAGGUUUUUUUUUUUUUUUUUCCACCAAAUUUCUGAUGAAUAUUAAAGCAGUUUGUCUUGUCCUCUACUCUUAGUUGUUAUAUUAUUGUUGAAUGCACAAUUAUUGAAAAUCUAGGGUCAAAACAAAAGUAGUGGGGCAUGAGAGAAAAUUUAAUGGAGGAAUGACUUCUCCGGCACUUUAGAAAGGAUUAAGCUUUAGAAAAACUAAUAAAAAGUGUUUGAAAAUUUUGAGUUUUAACAAUAAGGAUAAAAUAAAAGGUAAAAUGAAUAGUACCAGGAUUGAUUUUUUAGUGUAAAAAUAGAAUUUUUCGUUAAAGUAAACAGUACCGUAAGUUUUUCGUUAAAGUUCUCUGAAUUUGUUAAUGGUUCUUUAUGCCACAAUUACCCUGAAUUUGUUUCAUUUAAAUCUCUCUCUCAUGGAUCAAAGACUUUGAAUGUGGUCUAAAUUCUUAAAGAUUCUCAAUCAUCAACAGUAACGUUAAUAGACUACACACAAAGGGUAGUGGUGGUGGACUUGAAGAGUCAAAGUCUUUGUCACAAGUCUUUAUGCAUGGUGGGUCGUUUGCUUGUAUACUUUUCCAAACAAAUAGAUUAACUUGUUAUAUAUUCUUACGGUUAAUGCUUGGUAGAAAAGUCUCACCACUAGCAAGUUGCAAACAACCCGUGAAAUGGUAUCCAGCUAUGAGUUAGUAAACGUCAUUUUAACAAGCAUGUCUCUUUUCAAAUGUGACUUUUGUGGUAAGGUGAUGAUAUUAUCCCCACAGAUUUUUGUUAGCAUUGAUGCAUUUGGGGAUUACAUGUAUCAUUGAUUUUAAGUGCACAUAAACGACUAACAUAUAAGAGGUUUAUGUUGACUUGUCGCUGGAAAAGCCACACUAAAGGGUGAUGUCAUCGACCGGAGUGUACACGGAGGCUGAGUCUGCGGCCACAUGUAGGGUUAUGAUUAAACCUCUACUAUGAGUUGUUAUGUUAGGAAAAUGAUCAUCGCCGGAUCUUUUUUCUAUGGAUCAUGGGGAUUCCGUUAUCGUGAUCGUUCAUUGUAUAUCGUGUAAUUAGAAAUCAUUUCAAAAUUAAAAAUUAAAAAUUAAAUAUAAAUAGUACCUAACGAAAAUUGAUCGCAUGAUGUACGAUGAACGAUCACAAUCACAUGAUUCCCACCGGAUCCUUUUCCGUUAUGUUAUUGUUUGCAUGCACAAAUAUUGAAAAUCUAGGGCAAAACAAAAGUAGUGGGACAUGAUUUCAUGGAGGAGUUCAUCGUUGAUUCAUCAGGAUGGAGAUAAUUUUUAGUGUGUUUGGGAAUAUAUGACUGGUAUAUCUAGUGUUAUAACAUAAUUGGUUAAAUUUUUUUUUUCAAGAGUCUAAUUAAUUGUAUUAUGACACUUGGUAUACUGGGUUAUGUUCUUGAUACUAAAAAAUAUAUUGGCACAAUGACUUCUCAAACCACUAACUAAUAUAUGAUCAUGAGUGGAAUUUUUUCUGAUAUCACCUUGUAUUAGUGGUUCAAUACACCACAAUUAUAUUGAAUUCGUUUCAUUUAAGUCUUUUUCGAACUAGAUGAAUCAAAGGCUUUAAAAGGAAGGUCAUCAUCCAGAAAGAUGACCAAACAAUACCCGCCAGAGAUUUAAAUGUCAAAUAAUUGGUUGCAUGUCUCUAUCAUCGAGAGUAAAGUUAAUCCAUAUUAUCUAUCUAUAUUAUUAAGAGAAGAGGGCUUGUCAACUUUUUUCCCCCAUUUCUUCCAAUUUUGCUCUCAUUUUUUAACACACAAUAUUGACAUGAGGAGGGCAAAAUAGUAAUUUUGUAUCUUUUGAACUCUUUCCCCUUUUCUUCCAAUUUUGCCCUCAUUUUUUAAUACACAAUGUUGAUAUGAUGAGGGCAAAAUAGUAAUUUUGUAUCUUUUGAACUUUUUCCCCUUUUUUCCUAUUUUGCCCUCACUUUUGAUACACAAUAUCUACAUAAGGAGGGCAAAAUAGUAUUUUUAUAUUGAAAUAUUUACAUAAGAUAAAAAAUAUGCAUUUAUUAAGAGAAAUUAUCCCUCCAUCAUUUUUUCAUACAUGUAAGUGAAAUCAUAAUGUUUUUUUGAUAGUUUGAAUGAACUGAAGCGGUUGCGCUUGAGGAGAACGUGGGAGGUGGUGGACGGUUUUUCCCCUUUUUUCCUAUUUUGCCCUCACUUUUCAUACACACUAUUGACAAAUAGGAGGGCAAAUAGGAAAACAAAAGGGGGAAAAAAGUUGACAAUAAGGCUUCUCUUAAUAAUAGUAUAGGAAACAAAUAUGCAUUUAGUAAGAGAAAUUGUUCACACACACACUUGUGCUCUCUGCUAGUAGACUUAAUACAAAGGGUAGUCGACGAAAUAUCCAAAAUCUUUGCCACAAGUCUUUAUGCAUAGUGAUUUGCUUGUAUACUUUUCCAAACAACAAGUAGAGAUUGUGUUGUUAACUUGUUAUAUAGUCUUAAGGAAAAUGCUAGGUAGAAACGUCUCACCACUAACAAGUAACAACCAACCCGUCAAAUGGUAUCGAGGUAUGACUUGGUAUACGUCAUUUUAACAAGCAUGUGUCUUUACAAUGUGAUUUUUGAGGUAAGAUGAUGAUAAUACACACACAGAUUUUCGUUAGCAUUGAUGCAUUUUGUGAUUUACAUGUACUAUUGAUUUUAAGUGCAUAUAGACGACUGAUUCUAAGUGUACAUAGAUGACUGACAUACCCUAUUCUUAUAAGGUACUUGAACAAAUUAAUACCUAAUAUACUCGACCAUCCUUAUAUAAUAUAGUUUGGCUACAAUAAUAUUAGGGGAUAUCCUCAAUCUGUUGAGGUUUUGCGAUUUAGAUGUGUUAUUGAUUUUAAGUGCCUACAGACAACUGAUUCUAAAGUGCACAUAGACAACUGACAUACCCUCUUCUUAUAAGGUACUUGAACAAAUUAAUACUUAAUAUACUCGACCAUCCUUAUAUAAUAUAGUUUGGCUACAAUAAUAUUAGGGGAUAUCCUCAAUCAGUUGAGGUUUUGAGCUUCUGCCUAGCUAAGUUUAUGUUAACAUGGUGUAUAGUGUAUAUAACCAAAAAAGCACAUUGUCUUCAUAGAAUUUAUGUUCAUCUAUUUUGAAAUGGAAGUAAAAUAAAGCCAACAAGUUACAAGAAAACCCUUAUUUGACUAAAAUUUAUGAUUAAACUUCUACUAGUCAAGAUCUAUAAAAAUUAGUGAUAAUUAUGUGAUUAAUGAAUGGGAGACACAAUAUAUUGGGUGAUGCUAUCCAUACGCAUUCCAUUUUACUUUUCCUUAGCCGUUAGGUUGAACGAAUUGAAAGAAUCAAAAGACCAAAAUUAACAGAGGUAUAGGCACCACCCUAUAUAUUAUACAACAAUAUGAACCAUUAUUUUUUAAUGUGAAACAUUUUAAACCAUGAAUCUACUCUCAAAACACAUUAGUAUAAAUAAUUAAACGACAGAAGUGGAAAAUAUUUUUUGUAAUCUGUUGGGAGCUUGAGGUUUCCAAAUUCAAAUUCAAGAGGUUGGGUUAGGCUCGCCGGAUGACUUCAAGAUUAGCUUUCAACGUCGUGAUCAUGGAGACGGUAUCUCAUUCGAUGGGGCAAGUGGACUUUUGGACCAUGCUUUUGCUCCCACGGAUGGAAGGCUGCACUUGGAUGCAGAUGAACGAACUCGAUCUGGUUUGAGGCCUCCAAGUAAGAACAAACUUGAUCCGGUUUGGGUGGCUACGCACGAAAGGACUGGGUUCACCUCCGGAUCCCAGCCUGCAAAGCCAGCUGACCUCAAGAUCUCAUCCUUCCAUUUUUGAUCUUGUGGCCAGGAAUAAUGAAAAAUUUUCACGCAAAACAAGGCAAGAUGAAAAUGGAAGGAUGCGAUCUUGUGGUCAAUUGGCUCCGCAGGAUGGGAUCCGUAGGUGAUCCCAGUCCGUCGUGAUAGAAAUGGCCCUUCAUGACUUUAGUUGUGAAAAUAAACAUCAAUAAAAUAAAAUUGUUUAAGUGUCUGAUAAAUUUGUUUUAUAAAAGUACUUUUAACUAAAAAAACAAUGUUUGAUAAACUUUUGUAUAAAAUUGCUAUGAGCAUAUUAAAUGACUAAAACUGAUCACCAUGCUUUGAAAAAAAAAAGAAAAAAAAAAGGUCUUUUUCAGAUGGUAGACUCUGCUUCCACGUUUCUAUGCUUUUCAUAUUUGAUGUUCUAAAUUUUUUAAUAAGCUUUUUUUUUUUUUUUUUAAAGCAUCACAACUCCAAACCAACCUGUAAUCACUUCAGGCAUUGGGAAUCGAAGGAUGUGCACCAUCAGUUCGGAAAUUUUCCUUGAGCAUCUCCGCAGGUAUGUUGUCUCCGAUUUCUUUGAAUAAAAAUUCAGGCAACGGGGAGUUGAAGCACACCUUCGAAGCUGUCAAACUCGUUAGGAGUUUUAUCGAACAAGGCUUCGAGCUCCGGUCUAAUGAAUUGGGCUAUAAUUUCAGUGCAUGUGCCAGGACGUCUGACAUCUUCCGGUGUCCAAAUCGUAGCUUACGACAUUGCUGCAUAGAUAACCCUCCUCAUAUUGGUUGUUGAAUUAGAGUUUUAUCUCAACCAAUUAAUGUAUUAAUGAAGCAUUGUAAUCGUAGGUAAUUUCCAUUUACUAACCUAGGUAUAAAGCAAAGAGAAAUACUUAGUUACUGAUAAAUCUUUUUUUUUUUUUUUUUGACAAAUGGGAGAAUAAUCUGCACUGAAUUUUUCUAACUAUGGGGAUGGGAGAAAAUUUAAACUAGAAAAAUAGUGGGUUGAAGAGAAACGCUCUAUCUACCAAGCAAUCUGUCACUUGCUUGACCAAUCAAUUAGUUAUCUUGUUAUUGAUCACAAUCUGUUUUUUUCAAUAAUAUUACAAAAAAUGCCAUGGGAAUCGUAGGUCAUGUUUCUAAGUUGUGUCAUUUCUCAUUUCCUAAAUUAUAACAUAUUGUUGAUCAACAUAAGUGUUUUGUAAUUAAUAUUGUAAUCAAUAACUUGAACUUCGCUUUAUAUUGUAUGGAAUCCGCAGAUCGUAAAACCAUGUAUGGGGGCUAAUGCAUAUCCUGUGUUGGAAGGUCAAGGAAGCUAAUGGCCUAAUGCCAUGGGAGCCGGCAAUUAAAACUUCAGUGAGAAGCGAUCAUAACUAUAACGGUCCUAAGUCAGAAAAUUUCUUGUCGAAUAAGUUUCAAGUUCCAACAAAAUACGAAAGACAUAACGAUCUGGACAAUCUCAAGUAGUUCCAACCCAAAACCCAAUUGUCAAAUGAACCUCACACCUUCGUCAAGCUCUGUAGGCUAGUUGGUAUCCACAUUCCCAAAGGGCCAAAUGGACCAUAUCAAAUCAACCCAAUCAAAAGCCCAAUCAGAUUGCAAACAACCCACAUCCAAAUCAAACACGGGUCAGAAAUGACCCAAAUUUCAAAUCGGGUUAGUCUUCUCUGUCUGUCUUCCCCUAAAACCCUAAACUUUCUUUUACUCUGUUGUCACAGAAAACGCAAAAGUUUUCAAUCUUUGAAAAUCGUGAGGAACCAUGAUGAACGGCGGUCGGCACCAAAACAAAUUCGCAUGGAAGCCAAACCUCGGCGUCAAAAUCAACGAAACCGAGGUCGGAGGUCGGUUCCGGCCGCUGUCGGAGAUAACGGGGGUCUGCCAGCGCUGCAAGGAACAGAUCGAGUGGAAGCGCCGUUACGGAAAGUACAAGACCCUGACGGAGCCCGCCAAGUGCCAACGUUGUACCAAACGCGCCGUCCGUCAGUCCCACCAUAAGCUCUGUGCUGCUUGUGCCAAGGAACAACGUGUUUGUGCGAAGUGUUGCUGUCGUGUCGAGCAAAUUGUCGGAAAAGACCUUGCGGAAGUGGAGUCUGAGCAGAAGCAGCUUCAAGAGGUUUGAUUUUUUUUAAUGUUGUUUUUGUUAAGUUUCCAGUUUUUAACUGGUUUUCGAUUCGAAAAUUGACGAAAAUUGAUGGUUUUCGAUUCAAAAAUGCAAGAGAAAGAGAUAGGAGGAGUCUAUUGCGUGUGGCAUGUUCUCGAAUUUGAACACAUUUGUUUGUUCUUGUAUUGGAUUGUGAAUCAAAAGUUGCAUAAUUUGUGAUCUCGGAUAGUACUGUAACCGACGAAUGCUGGAAAAAAAAAAUAUCCGGGUGUAGCGAAAGCUGCAAGCGAGAAAGGAGACAAAGCGGGGGACCUGUUCCCGUCUGCGUCACUCGAAGAAUAUGCAGAGGCAAGCAGAGAUGAUGACGAUGAUGAUGACGAUGACGACGGUGACGAUGGCGAUGAUGGUGAAGGCGAAGAAGAUGAGGCACAUGUUUGCAAUUAAAAGAGGUUCUAAGUAGUAUUUCAGUUGCCUAUGAUCGUGUACUGUGCCCAUCCUUUGCUCGCAAGUUCGAAAUCGCUUGCAUCUCUCUGUACUGUCAGUGACAAAUUGGGCAAAGAUAUCCUCGUUUCUUCAACACCAUGAAGAAGGUCUUGAAGAAGUUAACUGAUCAUCGUCUUUUUGUCUUGAAGAAGUAAACGGAUCAACGGGUUUUUUUUUUUUUUUGAGAAAAUUUGAAAUAGGUACAAGUUUAUAGCCCUACUUUUGAAAUAAGUCCAAAUUUAAUAACUUUUGACUUUUGAAAUAGGUUCAAUUUUUAGUUACUUGACAUUUUUUUUUCUUUUCAUGUUUGUUUGUUUUAGUGGUCGGACCCAUAAUUUUGUGCAAGUGCUUAUGCACAGAAACCUUGAACUUUUGUUCGUUUUUAAUUAUCAAUGUAGGUCUUGUUUAAUAUUACCACAGAUCAAGUUGCAUUGCUUUUGGGGUUCUUGGGUUAGAAGCAAACUGCUAAUAAAGUAUGCUGGGCACCUGGGGAAGAUCGAAAACUCAAUAGAAAAAUAAGAGAGAUCCAACUUCACUCUUCAAGUCAACAGCUUCGAGAUUGAUUGAAUCUUCAAAUGGUUGUUAUUUCUACGAGUUGGAAGGAAGAAGAAAGCCGAUCUUACGAAAUGCAAAAGGAGAGCAGUUUUAAGCUAGUCAGAUGCCGUCUUGUGACGAUGCUGUGUACCAUUCUCCUUGUCAGCCCCGUUACAGUUUUCAUUUUCGGCUUCCAUAUCUCAUAUCCGCAAUCCUUUUUGUCCUUCAACACCAGUAUCUCCCAUGACCAAAUUGUUUUGCCUCACUCCCUGCCCGCGGAUGUCUCUCAUUUGCAGAUCCAGCUGGGACUUUUGUCGCAGCAGCUGCAUAAUGAAAGUUCCGAAUCAAAAGUACUUGCGAAAUUUUCGGAUCAGGUGCUUCGCAUCGCCAUUUCUUUGGACAAACUUGCUGAUUGCAUUAAAAAGAAGCAUCAUCCGGACAAAGAUGAAGUAAGCACCGUGGAUGAAGAUUUCACAAAUCCAGAGGAAGGUGAAGCUGAAGCUGAAGAACAGGUUCCAGGUGGCACAAUCUUCACUUCAGGUGAGAUUCGUAUUUACAUUUCACCAAAACAAAACAGGCAGAUUGGGAAGAAAAAUUUUCUUGUGGUAGAAGCAAUAACUCCAUCAGUUGGGUUGGCUUGUGCCCGAACGGCGCCGGUUUAUGAGUUACAAACGGCAUGUGCCCAGAUGAUUCGGAAAUAGCUCAGAAGCUUUUAUUUCAUGGAAGUGAUCCAUUGCCAAGAAGAAGAUGCUUCACAAAAUCACCGCCAUACUACACCAAGCCACUUCCUAUAAACUUCUCCCUUUGGACUCAACCUAGCAAUGCUAACAUCUUAUGGAACAAUUACAAGUGCAAAGACUACUCUUGCCUUGUUUCGAAAGAAACCAAGGACAGAAGAGGCUUCUUCAAAUGCUCAGACUGUUUUAACUUUUCAAAACAAACGUGGGACACUCCAACAAACGAGUCCGAAUCGGCAUAGUUCACCAUUGAUGAAGUUCUAAGCUUAAAGCCAGGGGAGAUAAGAAUCGGCCUAGACUUCAGGUCGACCACGGGAAUAUUUGCUGGUAUCAUGAGGGAAAAGAACGUUACCAUUGCAUCAAGUACCUUAAACUUAGGGUCUCCUUUCAAUGAGAUCAUUGUCUUAAGAGGUCUUCUUCCUCUUUACACAUCAAUCGGUUCGAGCCUACCUUUCUUCGACAACACCCUUGACAUUAUCCAUUCGACUUUGUUCUUGGAUGGCUGGAUUGGAGCUGAACUCCUUCAGUUUGUAUUGUUUGAUUGGGACUGCGUCCUCCGGCCGAAGGGUCUUCUUGGGAUAGACAGGUUCUUCUGUCACAAGGAAGACAUGAAGUUGUAUUUGGAUGAGUUUAAGAGGUUAGGCUACAAGCCAUUGCUAUGGAGUGUAGUGCCCAAGACUGAGCUCUUCUUCUCAGCUGUUCUGGGGAAGCCAAUCAGAGGUUAAUAAUCGUCGUUAACAAGUAAAUUUCUCAAUAUCUUAGCGUUUUAAUGAAUUCCGUGAUAUUUUAAUGAGUAAUACUUGUCAUUAACAACAGGGAUUAAGCAUUUCUAUCGUACUUAGUAAGGUUUGCAAUUACAUUGAUAUUUUAAAGAGAAAAAUAUAUAGCAACAUGAAAUUAUUAUAUAACUUGUAUUAAUAACGCAUUUUAGAGUACUUGGAGCUAACGGAAGACUAGACAUAAAAUAGAGCGUAGUGGCGUUCUAAAAUUCAUACAACCGAAUAUAAAAUUUCUGUAUAUAGAUCUCGACCAAUGCUUUUUGCUUGAGAAGUUGAACGGCAGGCAUUUAAAAUUUCUGUAUAUAGAUUUCGAGAUAGGUCACCAAAAGUAUAUCCACUCCAAUUUCGUUUAUCAUACUGAUCGAAUAUCCUGCCAGACUAGCUACAUUUUAUGCUGAUAGAAUAGCCACAAUUUCGAGUCUCCUGAAGAAAGUUGAUGUUACACUAUAGAACCAAUUGGUAAUAUGAAGAAUACCGCAAUUUAUUUGUAAGUCCAUGCAUGGUGGACGUACGAUAGGGGUGACGAUGGUGUGCAAACACAAACAAGUAAUCGUGAAAAAGAAGAGUCAGCCAGAGUUUGUUCAAAGUCUUUGCGUAGAAAAGACUAGCGCUGAAGCAUCACUUCAGCAAUUUCCAUUCUUUUUCCUCUAUCACACAUUGGAUGAAUGUAUCUUUCUGUCGUUGGAAGUGUAUACUUUUACUUAAAGACUUGUGUUCUUGACGAUGAUAUAACAGACCCGACUUAAAAAUAUAAUAAGUUUUUACUAAAAUCGCGUUUCUUGGAAAGAGACUCGGGAGAGUGCUCCAUUUGGAGAAAUGGACACUUAGCAGGUGCUUUUUUAGAAAACGCUUAUAUGGCCUAAAAGCACUUUUAAGUCAGAGAUAAACCACUCCCCCCGCCUCCUGAUCCGACUAUUGUUUAAUCCGUACAUUUCAUCGAACCAUGAAAAUGUUCUAAUCUGGAAAUGGAAGCAAGUAAUCAACACCAAAUAUAAUUAAAAGUACAAUGCCAUACCUUCUUGCGCUAGCGGAGAUUUCCUCCGCUGUCACUCUUUCCCGCAGCCGCCUCUGAUCCAGACGGCAAUUCGAUUGCAAUUUUAUAUUUAUUUCUAAGGGCUCGGCACUUUUGGUAUAACCCGCCACUUUUAAGUCUGGCGUGAUAUAGAAGUUUUUUUCUUAGAAUUAAAAAAAAAAUGAUCAUUAUUAAGGGAAGAUGAAGGAUUCGAAACUAUUACAACAAUUAAGGGGAGGGAGAGUUCCAAAUUCGGGACGCAUGAGUAGAGACGCAACGCUCUAUCCAGUAAGAUAUUGAACCACAUGCAAUACAGAGGCUUGAACAGUCGCACAACCAUAAGUACAGUUUGUUAAUAGAAAGUGUUACUAGCUGUCCUAGAAGCAGAACAACGCAAUGCGAGGUACUUCAAGUAAUUCAUCAUUCAUUUGGGUACAAACACAAUUGAUAAGAAAUAGUUAUUGGCUUGCUUGUGACAACCCGUCCCGGGAUUUACGGAACGAAAAUGGCAUUUUAGUAAUUUCACAAAUUUCGGGAUGUUUGUUUUGAAAUGGGUUUACUUUUAAACCUUAAUUGGUGUGCCAAGGGGCCCACCUUCUGUUUUGUCUCCCCUGGGUCCCCUCUUCAUUUUCUGCCACGUGGCAACUCCCACACCCCCAUCACCUCACUCUCCCACCUGAGGCACUCUCUCAGCUCUCUCACUCUCUAAUCCCUUUCACUCUCACAGACCCCUCUCUCACUCUUCUCCCCUUCCCCGUCGACCCACACACUCACACGGAGGCAUCACCACCCUCACCCUCGUGAGAACUUCCCAUCCCUCUCCACUGUCUUCGUGAACCUCAGGGGCACCCAGAGGACACCCAACCCAGGUCCAGCAAACCAUGGGUGUGCUGCUCAAAUCCGGCCACCUCCAACCUUUUCUCGACGAAACAAAGGUAACAAACCCUUCCUCCUCGUUUCACUCUUCGUUUUGGUGCCUAGAUCGGACCCUAUAGUGGUAUUUUGCUAUCGGCCAGAGCUGGGGAAGCUCCUGCGUCCUUUUCCCGUCGAAACCAGUUCGUUAGGCCAGCUCGUCCAAACCCUGUCGAACCAAUGCCUUUUGGGCCGUGUAUAGGACUCGGGGCUUAGGCCCAUUAGCCGUUAUACCCAAAAGCCCAAACGGUUUAGUUUUUAAUUUUAAUUAUUUAUUUUUCUUUCAAAAACCCAAAAGAACUGGGCCGAGCCUUUAAGCCCAAGCCCGUAUAAACCCUUGGCCAGAGGCCAAAGGGCUUCAGCCCGUUGAGCUUUAAAAACCCCAAACCCUUUUAAAGCAAGCCUUCAGGCCAUGAGAGAACUCGAGUUCGGCCCAUUGACCCAAAACCCAAAACCCUUUUGGGCCUUUGCAGUCAAGCUCAAAACCCUUAGGCCCGUGGACCCAAGCCCAAGCCUUAGGUCCAAACCGAACCAAGCCCAGACCCAGUUUGACCGACCCAGACCUGUUGACUUUGACCUAGUCUGACUGUUGAUCGGCGUUGACUUUGACUUUGACCGAUCAAAGGUUGACGUUGACUUUUUGUUGACUUUUUCGGGCUUCGGUCGAGACCUCUCCUAGGCUAAUUUCGACAUUCUAAAUCUGUUUUUGGUGUCCGUUUUCCCAAAUUCAAUUGUUUGAAUAGAGUUUUAUUAAUUUGACCUUUUAUUUGCUUUGGUGCAUUUAUUGUGGUGUUUCCAUCUUCGCUAAUUUGCAUGGCUCUUCGACGGCGAAGUAUCUGUGAGUGGACCCCUUCUAAAAUGCAUGUUUUAAUAGUAGAAAUGCAUACAUGAAAAGCAUGAUUUAAUGAUAACGUUUUAUGAAACAUUUUAUGAAAUAUUAUGCUUAUUGAGAAUCUUUUGAAUUACCAUAUUUUAUCGAACUCAUGUUCUUUGUAGUAUAAAUGAUGGAUGACUUUAUACUACUUAUGAACAUGUUUUUGCACACUUCUUUAUAGUAUAGAUGAUUGAUGACUUUAUACUAUGAAGAUGUUUUUGAGAUAUAUAUACCUAUAUUUGGAAAGACUAUGUUCAAUGGUUUUGUGCUUAUCUAGCAGUCACUAUACUGUCACGAGCGAGGAUUAUGGUUGUUAGUUGCGAGCCGGGAGAAAUAAUCUCUGGCUACGGGCGCAAAGGCAUGGAGCUGGCAUUAGGGCGGGAGAUAUUGUUAUUGGAUACCACUAUUUAGCACCCUAUAUACGAGAAAUGUUUCAUGAGAAGUUUUAUGGCAUGCUAGGGUUUCAGAAAACCUACUAUUUAUUAUGCUAUUAGUUUUCAUAAAACUUUGGGGGUUAAUAUGUUAAAUAACUGUUUUAAUAUAUAUAUAUAUAUCAACUCGGUCCACUCAUGUUUGUUUUGUGCACCUUCAGGACUUAGAAUUGAGGCAUACAAUCUCGGCCUCAAGGCACUUCCACAUCGGCAUCGUCGAGUCCUCUCGGUGUAUGACCCAUUCAUUUGCUCAUUCAAUUUUGUAUUAUUUCUUUUUAGCGUUUUAAAUUAGUUGUAUGCUCUGAACACGUUCCUCAUUUGCAUAUUAAUUACAAUUAAAUUUAUAAGUCUUAUUUUUUUCUUGUUCUCAUGCAUUCUAAUAUGGCUUCGUCACCUUCAGGUGUCGGCCAGCACGUGCUUACCCUAGUGUUUGGGAGAGUAUUAGGGUUAGGCGUGUCAUUGCUAACACAUCAUAUAAUUUUAGCCAGAUUACUCUAAUGUUGUUAUAUCAUCUCCCAAUCGGAUCGUUGAUUUCUGAGAAGAUCGUCCCGGAUAUGCACUGAAUGGAUUCAUUCGUAGCGCAACCUGGCACACUAGCGAAGGCAUCCUCGUUGUUCCUUUCACCAUACUUCUGAUGUAGUUGCAAUGCAAACUCAAGCCCCUUCACAACAUCGUUCAUUGUCGGUCGUUCGAUCCCACUAUCAUUGAUGCAACUCAUAGCAAUUUCCACAAACUUGUUCAAACACUCGGUUUCAAUCUUACCCUUCAUGUUUGGAUCAAUGAUUUGAUCAAGUUCCCCGUCGCGAUGGCAACUCUUGGCCCAUUUAGCCAAGUUCAUUUGCCUUGUCUCCACUGCAUGCACCACAGCUGGUCUCGAGCACAGUACUUCACACAACACUACACCGAAUGAGUACACAUCAGAUUUCACAGUCAGUUGUUGACGUCGAUAGUAUUCCGGGUCUAGAUAACCGAAACUGCCUUUCACGGCCGUGCUAAUAUGGGUCUUAGACAUGGUGAUUGUGCCCAUUUUUGACAAUCCAAAAUCUGAAACCUUGGCCAUCCAAUUCUCAUCCAAUAAAAUGUUUGUGCUCUUCACGUCACGGUGGAUGAUAGUGCCCUUGGCUUCGUUGUGAAGGUAGCGCAACCCUCGCGCGGCGCCAAUGCAAAUUUGGAGCCGUUGUCCCCAAGAGAGAGGUGGGUUGUCGGUGUGGUAGAGAUGGUCGGCGAGUGUCCCAUGUGACAUGUAAUCGUACACCAAAAUCAUCUCAUUUCUAUCAGUACAAUACCCAAUGAGAGACACCAAAUAGCGGUGUCUAAGUUGUGCGAGCAGUUUGAUUUCCGUCUUGAACUCGCAGGCUCCCUGCUUUGACUCGGGUUUCAGCCGUUUGAUGGCAACGAGAGUGGCCCCGCCAUCGAUAUGCCCUUUGUACACGUGACCAAAGCCGCCAACACCAACAAUGAAACCUUGGCUAAAGUUUUGGGUGGCGGCUUUGAUCUCCGCCAGUGAAAAGUAGCGACACAAAUCGGACGGUAAAGAAGAGCCGCGAGUCUUGGUUGACUUGGUCGUCGAAAAAGAAAAUGGACCCCAUUUUGUUCUUUGCUCGGAGCUUGAGUCCUUGACUUUUCUUCCUCUCCAGAAAACCAAAAAUCCGAACACAAAGGCUAAAACAAACACACCUGAAACUACACCGGCGAUGAUGGCAAACAGAGGAAUAGAUUUCUUGUCUGAAACUUUGGGGCUCUCCGGCUGAGCUAUAUUUGGCGGGGGAGGCGGGUCGGGGUUUGGUCCGGCGAGAUUCCUAUUUGAAUCACUGAGCUUGAAGAUCUCGAGUCCAUUCAAGAUUGCAUCGUUGUAAUUCGUCGACGGAUUUUUUGGGGUGGUUUGCAGUGCAAGAAAGAGAUGAACUUUCUUUUUACUUCCGGCGCCUGCAGGCACGAAAACGACGUAGUCUUUGUACACCGGCUUCCCAUAACCUUGGCUCCACCAGAUUACAUCCGCCAUCUUCUCCGCCGUCUGAUUGGCGAUGAAGAUUUGAAACAGCCGGUCCCUGGGCAAUGUAACAGCACCUUCGAACUCACAAAAAUGAAGUCGAAUAAAGUAAUAAAACGUAGAAUCUACCGGAAACCCCCAGGUGAGAUUAUAGCUCUUGUUUAUGGUUUUGUUCCUCCCCAUCGACCGAGCGGUUCGGUAAACUUCUUCCGGAGCAGAGUACUUCGGAAUUUUCGAAAAGUCGAGCUGAAUACUACUGUUUUGCGGUAGACGACUAAAAUUUUUACUCAAAUCGUCCAAAUAGUUGUACUCCUCUUGAAUACCAUCCCAGUUUCUGUACAUUCCAGUGUCCUGAUUGAACGAAAGCUGAGAUCCGCCGACGUUGAUCCGGUAGACCAUCUCCAUGGCGGUGUUAUUUUCGAUCCAAUACGGGUUUAUGCUGCCUA
This 15095-nucleotide long non-coding RNA is filed under the name Malus domestica (apple). RNAcentral's name for it is "long non-coding RNA (MDOM_LNC017215)". The record is from RNAcentral. Lineage: Eukaryota; Viridiplantae; Streptophyta; Magnoliopsida; Rosales; Rosaceae.